AACGAACGCUGGCGGCAUGCCUAACACAUGCAAGUCGAACGAGACCUUCGGGUCUAGUGGCGCACGGGUGCAUAACGCGUGGGAAUCUACCCUCAGGUUCGGAAUAACUCAGAGAAAUUUGAGCUAAUACCGGAUGAUGACGUAAGUCCAAAGAUUUAUCGCCUGAGGAUGAGCCCGCGUAGGAUUAGGUAGUUGGUGAGGUAAAGGCUCACCAAGCCGACGAUCCUUAGCUGGUCUGAGAGGAUGAUCAGCCACACUGGGACUGAGACACGGCCCAGACUCCUACGGGAGGCAGCAGUGGGGAAUAUUGGACAAUGGGCGAAAGCCUGAUCCAGCAAUGCCGCGUGAGUGAUGAAGGCCUUAGGGUUGUAAAGCUCUUUUACCCGGGAUGAUAAUGACAGUACCGGGAGAAUAAGCUCCGGCUAACUCCGUG
RNAcentral lists this ribosomal RNA (433 nucleotides) under uncultured bacterium. Its description in RNAcentral is "partial 16S ribosomal RNA". It matches the Rfam family "Bacterial small subunit ribosomal RNA", at positions 29 to 507 of the family's 1533-position model. The record is from RNAcentral.